GACGAACGCUGGCGGCGUGCUUAACACAUGCAAGUCGAACGGAAAGGCCCUGCUUUUGUGGCUUUCUCGAGUGGCGAACGGGUGAGUCUAACGUGUGUAACCUGCCCUUAACAUUCGGAUAACUUCAGGAAACUGGGGAUCAUACCGGCUAGGAGCUCCUGCUGCACGGGGGGGGUUGGAAAGUUUCGGCGGUUUGGGAUGGACUCGCGGCUUAUCAGCUUGUUGGUCGGGUAGUGGCUUACCAAGGGUUCGACGGGUAGCCGGCCUGGGAGGGGGACCGGCGACGUUGGGACUGAGCGACGGCCCAGACUCGUAUGGGAGGCAGCAGGGGGGAAUAUUGCACAAUGGGCGGAAGCCUGAUGCGGCGACCCCCCGUGCGGGAAGACGCCCUUCGGGUUGUAAACCGCUUUCGCCUGUGACGAAGCGUGAUUGACGGUAAUGGGUAAAGAAGCACCGGCUAACUACGUG
This 468-nucleotide ribosomal RNA is filed under the name uncultured bacterium. RNAcentral describes it as "partial 16S ribosomal RNA". It matches the Rfam family "Bacterial small subunit ribosomal RNA", at positions 28 to 507 of the family's 1533-position model. The record is from RNAcentral.